This is a non-coding RNA of Acanthosepion pharaonis, 82 nucleotides long. NCBI's taxonomy places the organism in Eukaryota, Metazoa, Mollusca, Cephalopoda, Sepiida, Sepiidae. The record is from the annotation of a GenBank genome assembly.
CUCGUCCCGAUCGCUGAAGUUAAGCAACGUAGAGUCUGGUCAGUACCAAGACGGGUGACCACUUGGGAAUACCACGUGCUAU